CCAUUCCAGAUAUUUACAAUUUAAAAUUCAAAUAAAACUCUUAGUCCGAAUAAACACUCCUUCGAAAAUUCCCGAGCCACCCACCUCUUCAGGACCCAAGCGCCUUCAAGUUGCCGAGAGACCAGGAAUUUAGCUAAGGCUCGGUUUCUGUUUCUCGUCUCUGCGUCUGCUGCACUGCUCCCAUCGAUUUUGCUGAAAUAGCGGACUUGUUAUCGCCGCUAUUUCCCGUUACACUGCUACUUGCGGCUGCCAUCCGCUGCAUGUUAAAUUUGUUGAACUGUGUUUAGUGGUGUCGGGGGCGCCGCUACUGCGAAAUAGCGGCUGCGAACCACUAUGCCACUGCUAUUUUGAACCCUACUAAUCCCGUAUGGCCCAUAGAUAGAAGAAGAUGUCAGGAGUAGCCAAUCAAGAAGGAGGCAAGAAGCCUGCUGAUACGGCUCACAUCAAUCUUAAAGUAAAAAAUUUCCUAUUUCCCCCUUCUGUUCAAUAAGUAGGGGGUUUGAUCUUUUGCAGUAAAACAAAAAUCUUAAAUUAGUGUUGAGUACUUUUGUCUUACAUUUCUAUUAUGUUGUUUAAAUUGGAAGAUUUUGAAUUGUAAUUUGGUUUAGAUUUCAAACAGGUGGUGGUAAGUCCUACUAGUUGGUUUUUAGGUUUAUUUAUGCGGUAGAAUCAAAGUUAUAGAGUAGUGAAAACUAGGAUGUAUUAGAUAUAAACCUCUGAAACUAUGUGGUCUCUUACAAAAAUAUGGCCUAUGGGUUUUUAUGGAAGCUUUUUUAUUGUUCUUGUUA
Long non-coding RNA from Gossypium raimondii (Peruvian cotton), 788 nucleotides. RefSeq lists it as uncharacterized. The record is from RefSeq and is a predicted model, not a curated record. NCBI's taxonomy places the organism in Eukaryota, Viridiplantae, Streptophyta, Magnoliopsida, Malvales, Malvaceae. The transcript has 2 exons.